ACUCAAGACUUCCACGAUACGAAAAUCUUUUCCCGAAACCUAUACAAAGAGUCAGAGUUAAUGACGACGACAGAGCUGUUGAGGUUAAGAGUUUUACACAACCUUGAAAUAGGAGAAUUGGCGCCAAGGACAUUUUAUAGAUAGAUAAU
Long non-coding RNA from Maniola jurtina (meadow brown), 149 nucleotides. RefSeq lists it as uncharacterized. The record is from RefSeq and is a predicted model, not a curated record. Lineage: Eukaryota; Metazoa; Arthropoda; Insecta; Lepidoptera; Nymphalidae. The transcript is spliced from 3 exons.